AUACGGAGGGGGCUAGCGUUGUUCGGAAUUACUGGGCGUAAAGCGCACGUAGGCGGAUUAAAAAGUUAGAGGUGAAAUCCCAGGGCUUAACCCUGGAACUGCCUUUAAAACUAGUAGUCUUGAGUUCGAGAGAGGUGAGUGGAAUUCCAAGUGUAGAGGUGAAAUUCGUAGAUAUUUGGAGGAACACCAGUGGCGAAGGCGGCUCACUGGCUCGAUACUGACGCUGAGGUGCGAAAGCGUGGGGAGCAAACAGGAUUAGAAACCCUAGUAGUCC
RNAcentral lists this ribosomal RNA (274 nucleotides) under uncultured bacterium. RNAcentral's name for it is "partial 16S ribosomal RNA". It matches the Rfam family "Bacterial small subunit ribosomal RNA", at positions 523 to 796 of the family's 1533-position model. The record is from RNAcentral.